AAAUUGAAGAGUUUGAUCAUGGCUCAGAUUGAACGCUGGCGGCAGGCCUAACACAUGCAAGUCGAACGGUAACAGAAAGCAGCUUGCUGCUUUGCUGACGAGUGGCGGACGGGUGAGUAAUGUCUGGGAAACUGCCUGAUGGAGGGGGAUAACUACUGGAAACGGUAGCUAAUACCGCAUAACGUCGC
This 188-nucleotide ribosomal RNA is filed under the name Escherichia coli. Its description in RNAcentral is "partial 16S ribosomal RNA". It matches the Rfam family "Bacterial small subunit ribosomal RNA", at positions 1 to 182 of the family's 1533-position model. The record is from RNAcentral. Lineage: Bacteria; Pseudomonadati; Pseudomonadota; Gammaproteobacteria; Enterobacterales; Enterobacteriaceae.